Long non-coding RNA from Homo sapiens (human), 624 nucleotides. The record is from Ensembl. NCBI's taxonomy places the organism in Eukaryota, Metazoa, Chordata, Mammalia, Primates, Hominidae.
AUUUGUGCAGUGAGUUUCAGGCUGAAGAGAAGAGAGAGACCUGCGGCUGUUUCCGCCCACUCGUCCCAGCACAGCCACCAGAGAACGCCGCGUGGUUUGUUGUUUGGACCCUCCCAGAGCCUCUUCCAGAUGCUGUUGGAAAAAAAGAAAAGAAAAGCUGGGCAGCCAGUGUCACAGCCCAGAUGCCAUCUCGGUCUAUCCGCGGAAAUGCAAGCACGCAGCGCCAAGCCCAACCCAGUAGGUGCCAGGCCCUGGGUGCAGGCUUCAGCUUCACGCCACAUCCUCUCUCUCUUUUCAGUCUCUGAGUGACUUGACUCAGCCAGGGAGAGGAGAUACCUACACAUCCGCAUGAAGGCGCGUGGGAGGAAGCCGAGAAAUGACGGAUGGCGCAGGGCCUACUGCAGCCGCACGUAGACUAGCUCCUUCUUUACGGGCAAAACCCCCUACUUGUCUGCAGUGGGAAAGGAGUCCGUUCAGGGCAAGCUCUGAUCGCUGAGCUAUGGAUGUAGAUGGUAACUAGGCGUCUGGAGGUCAUUACACACCAUAUUCGGAUGGUGGAAAUCAUUGCUUAUUUCAGGACACUAAAAUGGUCCAUUUUUAUGUAUUAAAGUUAUUAAGAAUGAA